GCUUCACAAGGUAAUGUAGAUAAGAUAUUUUUAUCUUUGUAUGUCUGAAUAGGUUACCAGUUGAUACAAAACUCAGCAGAAAUGAAUCUGUAUAAUUCAUUUAUUUUAAUCAACUGUGGCUCUGUAUAGUUCAUAUCUCGGGAUCUCAUCUCAACGCUGUAGUGCUACAAAACAAUCUAUACAAUGUACAACACCUAAGCCUGAGAAUCACGUUGAACGGAUACAGGAUCUAGAAUAGGACUGAAAAAAACACAAUGCUUG
This 261-nucleotide unclassified non-coding RNA is filed under the name Hevea brasiliensis (rubber tree). Lineage: Eukaryota; Viridiplantae; Streptophyta; Magnoliopsida; Malpighiales; Euphorbiaceae. The record is from RNAcentral.